Long non-coding RNA from Psammomys obesus (fat sand rat), 568 nucleotides. RefSeq lists it as uncharacterized. The transcript has 3 exons. The record is from RefSeq and is a predicted model, not a curated record. NCBI's taxonomy places the organism in Eukaryota, Metazoa, Chordata, Mammalia, Rodentia, Muridae.
UCAGCUCCUUCUCCAGCACCAUGUCUGCCUGCACACCACCAUGCUUCCCACCAUGAAAAUAACGGACUAAGCCUCUGAACUGAGAUUACAGUGGAGAGAGUUCAAAGAAGAGACUUUGAACGUUGGACUUUUAACAAGUUUGAGACUGUAUAGGUUGUGGAGACCUUUGAAGCUGCAGUGAAUGCAUUUCUGCGUUAUGGUAUUGCUGCAAGCUGACAGGGGCCAAGGAGUGGGAUACAGUGGUUUGACCAAGAAUGGCCCCCAUUAACUCAGCGGCAACAUAAAGAGGCGUGGCCUUGUUAAAGGAAGUAUGUCACCAUGGAGGCAGGCUUUGAGGUCUCAUGUGCUCAAGCCAUACCCAGUAGAACAGCCUCUUGCUGCUGCCUGCAGAUCAAGAUGUCCACCUCUCAGCUCCUUCUCUAGUGCCAUGCCACCAUGUCUCCCACUAUGACAGUAAUGGACUCAUGCCGGGAGCCAAGACCAGCUAGUGGAAAGUUACAGACAGCUGCAACAAGGUCAUAGGAACUAGUUGAACUCCUGCUGGAUGGGACAUAAUUGGCGCCCAAAG